Molecule: long non-coding RNA, 471 nt
Organism: Panicum hallii
Lineage: Eukaryota; Viridiplantae; Streptophyta; Magnoliopsida; Poales; Poaceae
Exons: 3
Source: RefSeq, a predicted model, not a curated record
UGGCCUCAGCGUCGUCGCCUGGUACGACCGCGGUGCCGGCGAGUGGCGCGUCUUCGACGACGCCUGCCCGCACCUCCUCGCGCCGCUCUCUGAGGGCCGCAUCGACGACAAGGGCCGGCUCCAGGGCGUGUACACGGCUGGUGCAUCAACGGCGCCGGUACCUGCAAGUUCAUCCCCCAGGCCCCCGCCCUCGGCCCACUGGUGCAGAAGAACAGCAAGGCCUGCGUGGCGUCGUACCCCUGCGUGGUGCAGAACAAAACAUCCUGUGGUUCUACCCGAGGGCCGAGCCGGAGCACAAGGAUGUGCUGCAGAGGAAGCCGCCGCCGAUGAUUCCCGAGAUUGAAGACCCGGAGUUCAUCACCGUCUGUGGCAUCAGGGAUCUUCCCUAAUCGGUAUGAUGUUUUGGUAGAGCUGGUGACCAUUUUUAUCAUUUCGGUGUGCUGGUGACGGUGAUCAACAGAGGGAAGAUGU